UAGGUAUGAUGGCCAACGAGCUCAGAUUUUGUGCUCUUGCAUCCCCCAUGUGGGCUGGAUGAAUCACCAUGGAAUGAACCUGGAAUUUUAACUGCUAGAAAGGAUUUAGACUACAUUGGAUGAGAAGAACUGUUGGAAGCCUUGAAGAGGGUAGGUGUUUUGUUUUGUUUUUUUCCCACUUACAUGGAUAAUUAUAGUGUUUCACUAAUUCAACUGUGUACACAUGUUCUCAAUCUACCCACUUGCAGCAAAAGGGUACGUUUAAAACAUGUCAAGAAGAUAGUACUAAAAUUCUGGAGGAGUUAAAGCUGAGGUUGGCAUACAGGGAAGCAGUUGUGGCUGUUCUUGCAUGCUACAAUCCAAAUCCUCACCGUCCUUUCACUGAGACUAAUAUUCGUUCCAUUCGCAGCAAGCCAAAUAUGCGUUAUGUUGAGACUACUGGAAGGUUUUUUUGAGGAAGUCAGAUUAUGUAGAAUCUAUAGUCUGUGCAUGUGCCCGUAAGUCUUAUAUC
Long non-coding RNA from Magnolia sinica, 511 nucleotides. RefSeq lists it as uncharacterized. The record is from RefSeq and is a predicted model, not a curated record. Lineage: Eukaryota; Viridiplantae; Streptophyta; Magnoliopsida; Magnoliales; Magnoliaceae. The transcript is spliced from 3 exons.